Molecule: ribosomal RNA, 549 nt
Filed under: uncultured bacterium
Lineage: Bacteria
Description: bacterial SSU rRNA
Rfam family: Bacterial small subunit ribosomal RNA
Source: RNAcentral
GGGGAAUCUUCCGCAAUGGACGAAAGUCUGACGGAGCAACGCCGCGUGAGUGAUGACGGCCUUCGGGUUGUAAAGCUCUGUUAAUCGGGACGAAAGGUCCUCUUGCGAAUAGUUAGAGGAAUUGACGGUACCGGAAUAGAAAGCCACGGCUAACUACGUGCCAGCAGCCGCGGUAAUACGUAGGUGGCAAGCGUUGUCCGGAAUUAUUGGGCGUAAAGCGCGCGCAGGCGGAUCAGUUAGUCUGUCUUAAAAGUUCGGGGCUUAACCCCGUGAUGGGAUGGAAACUGCUGAUCUAGAGUAUCGGAGAGGAAAGUGGAAUUCCUAGUGUAGCGGUGAAAUGCGUAGAUAUUAGGAAGAACACCAGUGGCGAAGGCGACUUUCUGGACGAAAACUGACGCUGAGGCGCGAAAGCCAGGGGAGCGAACGGGAUUAGAUACCCCGGUAGUCCUGGCCGUAAACGAUGGGUACUAGGUGUGGGAGGUAUCGACCCCUUCUGUGCCGGAGUUAACGCAAUAAGUACCCCGCCUGGGGAGUACGACCGCAAGGUUG